Loxodonta africana (African savanna elephant) is the source of this 6755-nucleotide long non-coding RNA. RefSeq lists it as uncharacterized. Lineage: Eukaryota; Metazoa; Chordata; Mammalia; Proboscidea; Elephantidae. The transcript is spliced from 3 exons. The record is from RefSeq and is a predicted model, not a curated record.
AGAUGGACUGGAUGGAAUUAGGCGCCCGCCGUCAGUCCCAUGGGACUCCGGGUAUGGGAUUUUGUUUCGCAGUGUCUGGUUGCGGCAUAAGCCCGGUCCGUGGGCGCCAAUGUCCUUGACGUUAUGGGUGACGAAGUCAGGACGCAGAAGAUGGAUGUCGAGUCUUCUUAGGUGCGGGUGGCUGAGGCUAGAAGCCGGCCAUGUAAAUAAAUGUCUUUCUCUGUUUCCUGGAUAACAGUACACCUCUGUAACCAGGUGCAGACGUUAGUGAGGUACCCUGGGCAGAGACCACGCUUGUCUCGCUGAAUCUCCAGCUUUCCCCCCAGUGUAAUAAACUUUAAGUAACUGAAGAGUUUGUGAGCACCUUUCCGCCCGGUUUAGAACCGAGGAUCUUUCGCGUGUGAGGCAAACAAGAUAACCACUAUACUACGGAAACUACAGAGGCGAAGUCCUCUGAGGUCUUCCUGACUGUUCGUAAUGCCUCCCACAGCUUGGGUGAACACACAGGUCUAGGUUUACCGGGUGGUUGUGUAAGGCUGGCCCGACGACCCAAGCUUUGCAACCAGACAACAUUCGCUUGCCGGCCACGCCACGGCGUACGCAGACGUCCCCGCUUGCGCACAGCAUUCCCAUGCAUUAGGCAAAUACCGUCCUUGGGAGUAUGCUUUGCGCUUAUCUCACACCGCCAAGCCUGUGUUCUGGCGUGGCCACUCACUCUCCCAUCUACUCUUCUACCCUAGCAGUGGCGUCCCCAGGCUUGCCCAGGAGCAAAACUGUCAAAGUAACAAGAAACUCGGUCAGAAUAUAAUGGGAAGUUAAAAAGCGGGCUCGUCCGGGAUUUGAACCCGGGACCUCUCGCACCCAAAGCGAGAAUCAUACCCCUAGACCAACGAGCCAGACGCUAAACGAUGUGCUCAUGUAUCAGUUUCUGCGUCGAUUCCCUGUGGGUCGUUUCAUCACCAAAAAAUGGAUUUGUAUUUCCAACAGUUCCUAAUGUCUCAGGGUUUCAGUGGUCCCUAUGUCCGACCUAUCUGUACUCAGCUAUCUCCGCACCCACCUUCAGCUCGUGAUAUCGGGUGGCUCCAAGCAGUAUAACUCGCCGUAUCUCUUCAGCCCUCUGAGAUGUCCUGGAAUCAGAAUGAGCGCCUCCCCGCUAGUGCUACUCGGACAGCUGAAAGGGGCAUCCAUCCGCUCUGGGAAUGGGACGCUGUCUCCCAAGGGAGCCCAAGUAAGGCGUAUCUGGAUGCCCAGGAGCGGGGCGCAGAGGCUGGGAGAGCCGGGGGGCUCCAGGAGAGAACCGCGAGCUCCCGGGAGAGAGUUGGACGCCGGGCUUGUAAGGGUAGUGGACCGGCUGGGUCAUCCACCCCGAGAAGCGAAACCUGGGUAGUCCCUUCACGACAGGGCGCCUGGUAAGGGGGCAGGACUUUUCAUUAUCGUUUUAUCAAAAUAUACAGAGCAAUACAUACUUAUUCGCAAAAUGUUCAUAAAAUGUACGGAAAUGUGUGGCAGAAAUGACAGACGACCAGGAACCCUGACCUCUCAGUGGUGACUCUGGCCUCGCUGGUUGGUGCACGUCCUUAGAAACUCAUAUCAGCGAGCGCGCUCACACUCCAGGUAAUUUUAUCUCAGCAAAAAUAGGGUCACCGCCUACAUAUUACUUUGUGACAUGGUUUUAUGUAACUUAAAAGUCGCUCAAGGACAUCUUUCCAACUUCACGACGUGGAGGAAUGCGAUUGCAGUGUACCCACAAGCUGGGUUUUCUGGUCCAUUUAAGCCGCAGUUCGAAUACUGAGUAAGACCAAACCCAAAUAUCGCCACUGCGUCCACUGCCGCCUGGGUCCCGGUCGCACCGGAGUCCCAGGAUUGAGUGCCUAAUCCCCUUGCCUGGGCUCCUCGUCCCCUCACUCCCCGCUCUCUCCACGUUCGUCGGGUAUUGCGCCUGAGCGGCCUCCUGCACUGGGCAAACCCGAGGCCAGAGCUAUACGAACGUUCUUCCCCUCUCUCGUCUUGGACCAACUCUUCCGCAAAGGGCUUUAACUGCACUGGGUUACUUAGGAGUAAAACAAUAGUGCCUUGGAUUCCCUGUUGUAUAAUUCACAUAAUCAGAGCUGUAUCAAAGAUUUAUUUUUGUGCCACCAGCAGAAAAAAUCCCCACGCAGAUGGAUGUAAAAACAGCUUGGGAGGAAGAUGAUGGUUAACCUACUCCAAGGAGUCAAGCACUAAUUUUUCCAUUCCUACUUUCCGUGAUCUUGCUUAGCCCUGUGCGCCUGGGACACUGCUGACCUAUCCACUCCGUCCCCUUGCCCGCCCUCUUCAGAACCUGGGUUCCGGGUCUGGCACCUUGUCCUCCCAAGGCCUCCUCCUAUCUCUCCACUCGCCCCUCCCGGUCUCUGUUCCGUCAAACCUUCUCUAAAGUGCGGUACUUGACCCUCGGCUUUUUCCGUAGUGAACAUGCCCGGAUGAACACGCCCACCCCCGCCAAGUGUCCGCCCCACCGGCGAUAGCCCUCCCUCCCCAAAAGGCUGUUACCCGCACUUCCAACACCGGCUGGACAGGGGCGUGCUCCUGGGAACCCCCCUCCCGACGCCUCACCUGGACCUGGCCCGCUCGGCCAGGUGACCCGCAGAUGUGCGCAGUCUCCCUUCUUUGGGCCCCUUCCAGACUCGCAGAAAAUCCUCCCUGACACCCUUCGGCCCCGGGCGCCGUCUGCUCGCCGGAUCCUGACAUGGGCAUCUGCCAGUGCGGCUGUCAUGCUCAGACUCUGAGCGCCCUGAGCGCUAGGCCUGAGACUCACUCAUCAGUUUGCAUAACUACUGUUAGGGUACCGCGUGUCAACUAACCCCUUUCCCCUUCCCACAAACACACACGCAUCCUCGAUGUCCACUGUUUUAGUUGGGAGGGAGGCUUCUACAGUGAGGUCUUACCUUCCCGUGGGACAGGCGCUUUGGAGUCGACGAGUCCCAGCACCCCAGGGCGCGUGAGUACCCGAAAGUGCCCACGAAUGAGUCCGUGUGGGUCUGGACGCAAAGUCUAGGCUCUUUGGAAGGUACUUUCUCAGGGUCCACUUUGACUGGAAAGAGGGCUUUUGCGGCCUGGGAGAACGCAGCCAAGCCUGGGCACGCCUCAGACAAGGCUGCUGCGACACGUCCUGCCCCCGAAGGGGUGUCGAGAGGGUCGCCCAAAGGCCUUCAGCGGUCCUGGCCAACCCAACUCUGGCAGCGCCCCGUUUUGUAAACUUGAAUUCCAUUACCAGCAUAAAUAAAUAAAGUUAGAUGGUCAAAGAUGGUCAGCAUAUAUUAAACCAGUUCCGCCGAGUAGAUUCAGACUCAUGGCGACUCCAUGUGUGUCAGAGUAGAACUGUGCUCCAUUGGGUUUUCAAUUUUUUGUUUAUUAAACGGAUUAAAAAAAAAAAAGACUGGAAGAGAAAAUAACAAAAUUACAUCCUGGAGGCUCGGGUGUCGCGAAUCUAGACAUUUGUUUGCACUUUUCUUCAUAAUGCCACAGAGAAGAGAAGCAGGUGCUCACGAGGGAGGCCAAGCAGAGGCGGGACAGACCUAACUAACGCUGAGGGCGCGCGGGAGGAGGCGAAGACAAACCCUGGGAGGGAGAGGAGCGAGCCGAGGGACAGGGCCGAAAGGUCGCGUUAACACCGUGGUCUCCAUCCCGGGAGACAGGGAGGGGUCACACGCAGCGAAAGAGAAAGGAUGAGAUCCGAGGCGAGCGCCUGACCCAAGGGGAGCGACAGGAGAGAAAACCGAAAGGCCAAAGUCUCGCCAUAAACUUGCCGGGAGCGGGCGCAGAUAAAAGCGAGCGAGGGGCCUUGGCGAAGACGCAUGUGGCCAGCGGAGCCUGUGAUCCAAAAAGGAAAAACGCAGAGUCGGGCUUUUUGGACAUUAAAGCGACAGUAGGGAGGGACCUUGGGGCGGCCUGCACAUGAGGGGAAAAAAGAAAUUGUUCCUCCAGGGUCGGGCGGUCCAGAAUGGAGGAAAUUCAUUUUCCUUCACGAAUCUCCCUUCAGAAGAGAAGGGUGAAAAAUACGGGGAAAAAAAGAAAAGUGCAGGCCCCAGCGAGAUUUGAACUCGCGACCCCUGGUUUACAAGACCAGUGCUCUAACCCCUGAGCUAUGGAGCCAGCCACAAUUCGGAGGCUCGCGCUUGAGUUGUUGACGCUGUCAUCGUUGCUGCGCAGCUGCAGACUGCGCAAUCGCAGAUCGUAGGAUCAAGGCGUUCGGUGACAAAAGGUGGAGCUAGCGUUCUUCUGCCUCUGGAGUCCGGUCCGGCUGCCAUCACCACGUAGGCCUGGCGGCAAAUCCUGGGAGCAAGCCGGGCGGAGAGAGAACCUGCGUUGCGUGUCUGCGGGGUAUCCUUCUGGCACCUAAGCCCAAUGCUCAAUCAAUCCUCUACCCUCUGCCUCCCAGGAGAGAAGCAAGCAUAGAGACAUGGGGACCUCAUACCACCAAGAAAGCAGUGCUGGGAGUAGAGUGCAUCCUUUGGACCUGAGGUUCCUGUGCUGAGAUGCUCCCAGGCCAAGAGAAGACUGAUGACAAGGACCUUCCUCCAGAGCCUUUCCCUGGAGCCAUUUGCCCUGAAUUCGGACUUCUAGCCUACUGGACUAUGAGAAAAUAAACUUCUCUUUGUUAAAGCCAUCCACUCGCGGUAUUUCUGUUAUAGCAGCACUAGAUGGCUGUCAUGGAUUGAAUUAUGUCCCCCCAAAAAACGUGUGUAUCAGUUGGGCUAGGCCAUGAUUCUGGGUAUUCCGUGAUUUUCCUAUAUGUUGUAAAUCCUGCCUCUGUGAUGUUAAUGAGGGAGGAUGGGCGGUGGUUGUAUUAGUGAGGCAGGACUCAACCUACAGGAUUAGAUUGUGUCUUGAGGCAAUCUCUUGAGAUAUAAAAGAUAGAAGCAAGCAGAGAGACAGGGGGACCUCAUACCACCAAGAAAGCAGCACCAAGAGCAGAGCGCAUCCUUUGGACACAGGGUCCCUGCACCUGAGAAGCUCGUCGACCAGGAGAAGAUUGAGGACAAAGACUUUCUUUCAGAGCCAACAGAGAUAGAAAUUCUUCCCCUAGACCCAACGCCCUGAAUUUGGACUUGUAACCUACUAGACUAUGAGAAAUAAAUUUCUCUUUGUUAAAGCCAUCCACUUGUGGUAUUUCUGUUAUAGCAGCACUAGAUAACUAAGGCAAUGGCUAAGACAGUUGGUUUAGAUUCUACCCAUGUAAAUGCUGACUUAGCUCAGUCAUCAGCAUGAAGACUAUGUGCCCACCCGUUUCCUCAGGGUUUCAUCCCACUUACUGCACAGCUCUGCAGGAAUAAGAACAAUCAUUGCCCUUCCUGUCUUCAGUCUCCCCGUUUCUCCUGACCUGUGCACACAAACUCCCAUUCCCAGAAGCUGUCCCCAUCUGUCUGGGAGUGGGGACAGUGGGGAGAGGCUCAUCCAGGUGGCCAACAAGCCCACCCAAAUCUAAGUAUCCCAAGGUGCAGAGCACUCCUGCUCCUGACCAACCCACAGCUUACAGGCCCACAGGCCUCACUGCUGCCUGAGGGAGUCAGAAGCGCUGAGGCAGGCACGGAUUUCGGGGAGAAGGGGAAAGAAGACCAGCAGGGUUGUGAGGCAGGGCUGAAAGAAAGAACCAACUGUGUGCAAAGCCCAGAGACAGUCACUGCGGGGUGCAGAUUCUCUACUUUGCCACUUAAUCAGUACUCAAUUCCACAACAACCAUCCAUACCUUUCUCCUCUUUUUCCAGCUCAUCCCGAAGAUCCUCUGAGAAGGAGAAACAAAGGGAGUUCGUGAAUGACAUCUGUGUGUGUUUGGCAAUGACACCACCUUCCCAAUAUUUAUAACCCAACUGACUCACUCAUUCCCUAAAUACCCCCGAUUAGCCACCCCACCUCUCAACACCAGCCUAACCUUGACAUACUCUAGCUACCACUUUGUCACAGCUUCUGGAAAGUCACACCCUUGGGAUCCCUGAACUACCAAAAGCACACCACCACCACCACCUAUACCACAUGGCCCACCCCACACCCAAGCCCCUACCUUUGAACUUCUUGAGCAGCCCCUUUAAGACAAAGGUCUUGAGGGAAACAUUCCAGACUUUAUUCUUCAUCUCAGAAGAGACUGUGGUCGGCUUGGGGCCGGGCACAUUGUUGCACCUGCAGGACAGGGAUCCUAAGGAAGGCCCCUAUACACCAUCCCACCCCCACUGGGCCCUGACAAAUACAUUGGCAAGGUCUUAUCGGGAAGGGGUAGAAAAGGGAAAGGCCAGCCUGGUAUUGGAAUACCCAUGGCCAGGUAGGCAGAUAUUUGCCUCAGAACAUACCCAGGUAAGACAGCUGGGGAUGUGGGGGAGGUGGCCAGAGGGCAGGGGUGGGGAAUGAAGAGAGAGUUCAGUGGAAAAGGAGAAGGGACAGCUUAGAGAGGCCCCAGAAGCUGUUAGGUUCACUCACUUGCUUAGUGUGUUUUUGAACUCCUAAAAGAAAAGAUAGAAGAAAAACCAAGUCAGCACUGUGUAACUUCCAUUCACCUUUAAGAAAACAAAACGAGCCCCUGGGCCUGUGUCCAAGAAAAAUAAACAAUAAGCAGGUAUACCCUGCUCCAUAGCCUGCAUGGGUCCCUGGUGGCAACAGCUUCCCGCUGUGGCUAGCUUCUGGGUGUCUCAUAAACUCAGUGAGCCCCUCACCCCUGCCCACACCUCUGUAAAUGUUCUCUUUAUUACGAAAUCUUCACCAGAGCAUCUGCUCUUGGAACCAAAAAA